AUGGAUACGCCAAAGAAGAUACAGAAGACAUUGGCUUGUAACUUCUACUACCUCCAUUCUAACAUAUACCUAGUAUUCGAUAAACAAAUAGGAGAUGUAGAAGCAUAUCUCCAGAUCCCUACACUUGUUUAUGGGACACCCUCCAGCAAUAAAUGGACAGAAAAUCUGAAACUUCACAUUCAAAUAGAUUCGCAUUCAAAAGCACACACGACUGUAGUUCUUGAUUACAGAAGUCAUGGCAGCCAAAGAAGAGACGGUGAUCCAAUCCACCAUCUUCCUUUCCAUGCAUGUAAGAAUUGGGAGAGCAACCAUCAAAAAAUAUGA
RNAcentral lists this ribosomal RNA (324 nucleotides) under Triticum aestivum (bread wheat). Its description in RNAcentral is "partial small subunit ribosomal RNA". The record is from RNAcentral. Lineage: Eukaryota; Viridiplantae; Streptophyta; Magnoliopsida; Poales; Poaceae.